RNAcentral lists this ribosomal RNA (497 nucleotides) under uncultured bacterium. Its description in RNAcentral is "partial 16S ribosomal RNA". It matches the Rfam family "Bacterial small subunit ribosomal RNA", at positions 28 to 507 of the family's 1533-position model. The record is from RNAcentral.
GAUGAACGCUGGCGGCGUGCCUAAUACAUGCAAGUCGAGCGGACAGAUGAGGAUCUUGCUCCUCUCACGUUAGCGGCGGACGGGUGAGUAACACGUGGAUAACCUACCUAUAAGACUGGGAUAACUUCGGGAAACCGGAGCUAAUACCGGAUAAUAUAUUGAACCGCAUGGUUCAAUAGUGAAAGACGGUUUUGCUGUCACUUCUAGAUGGAUCCGCGCCGCAUUAGCUAGUUGGUAAGGUAACGGCUUACCAAGGCAACAAUGCGUAGCCGACCGGAGAGGGGGAUCGGCCACACUAGAACUGGAACGCGGUCCAGACUCCUACGGGAAGCAGCAGUAGGGAAUGGUACGCAAUGGGCGGAAGCCUGGCGGAGCGACGCCGCGUGUGUGACGGAGGUCUUCGGAUCGUAAAACUCUGUUAUUAGGGAAGAACAAAUGUGUAAGUAACUAUGCACGGCUUGACGGUACCUAAUCAGAAAGCAACGGCUAACUACGUG